RNAcentral lists this non-coding RNA (31 nucleotides) under Rattus norvegicus (Norway rat). Lineage: Eukaryota; Metazoa; Chordata; Mammalia; Rodentia; Muridae. The record is from RNAcentral.
UGCCAGGUGAGCAUUUUGAGACCAUUGCAGU